CCGUCUCUAAUCCGACCCAUUACGAACUUUGUAUUAUAUUCAUACCAUAUAAUAUACUACACAUUAUUAUUAAAAAAAAGUUAUUAAUGAGAGCAACAUAGUUUAAUGUGGUUGCUCCUGAUCCUAGAUUUCUUGCAGUAUAAAAGUCGAAUCAACAAUGGCGUCAAGAGUGGAUCCUCUGCCCCAGGGCUGUAAUGCUUUUGAAGGAAACAACAAUGGCGUCAAGUUGGUGUCUGCGAACACGGCGUUAGGAUUAAGGGCGUUGAGGAAAAAAGCUUGCCUUAAAGCUUCAGGAGCCGCCGGAGGAAGAAAGGCCGCCGGUGAUACAUUACAGGCAUAGGGGUAGGCCUAUUCACUGUAGAAAGGCGUAGGGGGGAUGAUCAAUAAGUGGAAUACGAUUGAGUAUUGUAAAGAGAUAGAUUGAAUCUACAUAUAGUGAGGAGCUAGAUCAAGAAGAGUAAAGUAUUGUUCUCUUCCCCUCAAACUCUUAGCUUUGCUUCCUUGACGGAAUAUUUCGAAUCUGUGUAACGAGAGAAAGCAGGAGCUUUGAUUCCUUCCCAGAUUGCCGAUAAACCCUGCUCUUUCUGCAGACACCAGAAUGCCAAGAAAGAUUUAUAUGUUCCAAACUCCUGGAAUGUGUUUGAUCUGUUAGAUGGCACAUUGGCAAAUGAAACCAGGGACCUGGUGUUUGAUUACCCAGAUGGAUGUCGAAGAUGGUUCCUUUUUCGCGUGUUCGUUUCAGGGGUCGCCUUCCCCUAGUAAUAAAAAACAAACCCAGAUUUCCUGAUUCCAUUAGAAACAAAACCCAAAUGGGAGAAUGGAGGAAAUCUAAGAUCUCGGAUAGAAAAUUGUGGCAAUGGAAAAAGAGGAGCAGAAUAUGGUGGUGCUCAUGAUAGGAAAAAGAGGAGGAGCAGAAUAUGGUGGUGGCGGCGGAGCUUACGAAGAAGAAGAAGGAUGGAGGGGCGAGAGUAAAUUUUUUCCUUUUUAAUUUUUUAUUUUGUUGACUAAUAAUUAGAAUCGAUGAUGAUAUGAGGUGUUUGUAUAGCUGGUCUGCGUGGUCAAGUGGGCGAAAUAGGACGAAAAAUGUCGACGGUGAAAUUAGUUAAUUACGACACAGAUUAUUUUAACGAAA
RNAcentral lists this long non-coding RNA (1132 nucleotides) under Linum usitatissimum (flax). RNAcentral describes it as "long non-coding RNA (LUSI_LNC008287)". The record is from RNAcentral. Lineage: Eukaryota; Viridiplantae; Streptophyta; Magnoliopsida; Malpighiales; Linaceae.